UUCAACUUGGGUGCCAGCAGUAACCGGUUAUACAAAGGAAACUCAACAUUCCUCUUCCCCAAAGUAAACCUAUUGCAAAAACCCCUUCCAUCUAAUAAUAGCAACUCAAGGUCCCAUGGAGUUUCAUACAUUUUCCAGAGUUACAAAACCUGGCUAACACUGAGUCAAGUUAGGAAUCUCAAUCAAUGUCUUUGACCAACUUAAAGUGUUUGUAGAAUGUUUGAUGUACCUAAGAGUGAGUAAAAUGUGAAAGUCAGUUGCUGGAAUUGGUUGAAUGAGAGUGUCGGGUGAAGAAGGCAAGACAUGCAACAGAGGAAGAGGAAUGUGUCAUCCAAGAGGGGAAAAGAGAAAUACUAUUACUAUCUGUUGUCUUGGUGGUUCUCAUGAGGAGUGAAAGGAGAAUUGCUAACCUGGAAGAAGAUCAGAGAAACACACUAUACAGUCCUGCAGUCCUUCACCAAGUAGCAUGGGAUAGAAGCUCUGAACAUCAGCAUAAUUUUGAGGCCUAAAGUGUAAGAAUUGCUAGAAAUGCUGUGGUAUUAUUAAUUAAUUAAUUAAUUAAUAAUUAAUUUAUUUUUGUAUUAACUUAUUUUUAUUUAGAAAUGAUGGUAAAGAUGAUGAUGAUGAUGAUGAUGAUGCUUACAAUAACAGAUACUCAAGGUUAAAAAAUAAUUGUAAAAGUUCAAACUUACAUUAGAGUAAAAGUUAUCCUGGGUGCUGCAACCUUUGUCCAACAUGACUCAUGUAACCAAUAUUAACAGUGUAACCACAAAGCUUUGUAGUGGAAUACAUGUAGGCAAUUAUUUUUACCCAACAAGAUAUACUAGCAUUGGUUUUUCUCUGCCUCUGUUUCUGAUGAGUUGUUCAUACAAUAGAGGCUAGAUAGAAUAUUCAAGUCAAUAUAAUACAAACACAACUACCACUACAUAUGGGCUAGAAGCAGGAACCCCAUCACCCACCUAGAGAAUACAGAAGAAUUGAGAAAGUGAAGAGAAUAUUGUCAGGAUAUUGGAGAAGAGAUUUCUUUGGCGAUGAUGGGCACUCAAGUGAGAUAAUUAGCUUAGGGUCACCUAGGGUCCUAUAAAAAGGUAACCCAGCAGAUAAACACUGCAGGAGUAUUUAACGAUGCUCAGGGGCCUGAGAAAUGGUAAAAUUACACCAUCACCCAGGCCCACGGUGCUGCAUAUAUCACUACAUCUCAUCCCCUGCUGCCCCCCACACUGCAGCCAGAAGUUGUGAAAGGCGCGCAGGAGAGAGCAGAGAAGCAGCAGGACCUCCCCUCUAUCUCCACUGUCGGUGUCCCUACCGAACAGGGUCCUAGAUGGGUAGGAAGGAAGAAUUUAACACUGAGUCAAGUUGGGAAUUUCAAUUGAUAGUUUGACUGAUUAAAAGUGAUUGUAGAAAUGCCUGCAUUAUCGGGCGGGUGCGGUGGCUCACGCCUGUAAUCCCAGCACUUUGGGAGGCCGAGGCAGGAGA
RNAcentral lists this long non-coding RNA (1476 nucleotides) under Homo sapiens (human). RNAcentral's name for it is "HSALNT0213872". The record is from RNAcentral. Lineage: Eukaryota; Metazoa; Chordata; Mammalia; Primates; Hominidae.